RNAcentral lists this ribosomal RNA (305 nucleotides) under uncultured bacterium. RNAcentral describes it as "bacterial SSU rRNA". It matches the Rfam family "Bacterial small subunit ribosomal RNA", at positions 334 to 654 of the family's 1533-position model. The record is from RNAcentral.
CCUUCCUACGGGAGGCAGCAGUGGGGGAUAUUGCACAAUGGGGGAAACCCUGAUGCAGCGACGCCGCGUGGGUGAAGAAGCGCCUCGGCGCGUAAAGCCCUGUCAGCAGGGAAGAAAAAAGACGGUACCUGACUAAGAAGCCCCGGCUAACUACGUGCCAGCAGCCGCGGUAAUACGUAGGGGGCGAGCGUUAUCCGGAUUUACUGGGUGUAAAGGGGGCGCAGACGGCCAUGGCAAGCCCGGUGUGAAAGGUGCGGGCACAACCCGCAGACUGCACUGGUAACUGCCUGGCUGGAGUGCCGGAG